AUGGCCCACAUAUCAGAUAUUAAACUGAUAAGAACAGAUACUACACUUGAUCUUAGCCAAAAGGCCGAGAAAGGUAUGAGUUGCAGCGUUGCUCUGCCCCUCUAUUUGUAG
Molecule: ribosomal RNA, 111 nt
Filed under: Triticum aestivum (bread wheat)
Lineage: Eukaryota; Viridiplantae; Streptophyta; Magnoliopsida; Poales; Poaceae
Description: partial small subunit ribosomal RNA
Source: RNAcentral